UACAGAGGGUGCAAGCGUUGCUCGGAAUUACUGGGCGUAAAGCGUGUGUAGGCGGUCUCAUAAGUUGGGUGUGAAAGCCCUAGGCUCAACCUAGGAACUGCGCCCAAUACUGUGAGACUUGAGUGUCGGAGAGGAUAGUGGAAUUCCCAGUGUAGAGGUGAAAUUCGUAGAUAUUGGGAGGAACACCAGUGGCGAAGGGCGGCUAUCUGGACGAACACUGACGCUGAGACACGAAAAGCGUGGGGAGCAAACAGG
This 255-nucleotide ribosomal RNA is filed under the name uncultured bacterium. RNAcentral describes it as "partial 16S ribosomal RNA". It matches the Rfam family "Bacterial small subunit ribosomal RNA", at positions 524 to 776 of the family's 1533-position model. The record is from RNAcentral.